RNAcentral lists this ribosomal RNA (301 nucleotides) under uncultured bacterium. Its description in RNAcentral is "partial 16S ribosomal RNA". It matches the Rfam family "Archaeal small subunit ribosomal RNA", at positions 459 to 759 of the family's 1478-position model. The record is from RNAcentral.
CAGCAGCCACGGUAAUACCAGCAGCCCAAGUGGUGGUCGCGAUUAUUGGGCCUAAAGCGCUCGUAGCCGGGCCGGUAAGUCCCUUGUGAAAUCGGACGGCCUAACCGUUCGGCGUGCAAGAGAUACUGUCGGUCUUGAGGCCGGGAAACGUCCGAGGUACUCCGGGGGUAGCGGUGAAAUGUUCUGAUCCUCGGGGGACCACCGGUGGCGAAGGCGUUCGACGAGAACGGGCCUGACGAUGAGGGGCGAAGGCUAGGGGAGCAAACGGGAUUAGAUACCCGUGUAGUCCCUGUCUCUUAUU